RNAcentral lists this ribosomal RNA (581 nucleotides) under Bacillus subtilis. RNAcentral describes it as "bacterial SSU rRNA". It matches the Rfam family "Bacterial small subunit ribosomal RNA", at positions 82 to 650 of the family's 1533-position model. Lineage: Bacteria; Bacillati; Bacillota; Bacilli; Caryophanales; Bacillaceae. The record is from RNAcentral.
CUCCCUGAUGUUAGCGGCGGACGGGUGAGUAACACGUGGGUAACCUGCCUGUUUCNCUGGGAUAACUCCGGGAAACCGGGGCUAAUACCGGAUGCUUGUUUGAACCGCAUNGUUCAAACAUAAAAGGUGGCUUCGGCUACCACUUACAGAUGGACCCGCGGCGCAUUAGCUAGUUGGUGAGGUAAUGGCUCACCAAGGCAACGAUGCGUAGCCGACCUGAGAGGGUGAUCGGCCACACUGGGACUGAGACACGGCCCAGACUCCUACGGGAGGCAGCAGUAGGGAAUCUUCCGCAAUGGACGAAAGUCUGACGGAGCAACGCCGCGUGAGUGAUGAAGGUUUUCGGAUCGUAAAGCUCUGUUGUUAGGGAAGAACAAGUACCGUUCGAAUAGGGCGGUACCUUGACGGUACCUAACCAGAAAGCCACGGCUAACUACGUGCCAGCAGCCCGCGGUAAUACGUAGGUGGCAAGCGUUGUCCGGAAUUAUUGGGCGUAAAGGGCUCCCAGGCGGUUUCUUAAGUCUGAUGUGAAAGCCCCCGGCCACGGGGAAGGUCCUUGGAAACUGGGGAACUUGAGUGCA